Long non-coding RNA from Papaver somniferum (opium poppy), 299 nucleotides. RefSeq lists it as uncharacterized. The transcript is spliced from 3 exons. The record is from RefSeq and is a predicted model, not a curated record. NCBI's taxonomy places the organism in Eukaryota, Viridiplantae, Streptophyta, Magnoliopsida, Ranunculales, Papaveraceae.
GGUCUAGGUGGUGGUAAUGGAGGUGGCAUUGCUACCAAGGUCGUAUGCCUGACAGAGGUGGUUACUGCAGAUGAGCUUAAAGAUGAUGAAGAGUAUGAAGAUAUUUUGGAAGAUAUGAGGGUAGAAGGUGGAAAAUUUGGUACAUUGAUGAAUAUUGUCAUCCCCCGUCCACAACCUAACGGUGAACCCUCUCUAGGACUUGGAAAGGUUAGUUUCAGUGUAAGGCUUUCGUUGAGAACUACGACACUUCAUGUCUAAGCCAGUGCCUCUACGGUAUCAUCUACCACUAUGUUUCUCAU